AUUGAACGCUGGCGGCAUGCCUUACACAUGCAAGUCGAACGGCAGCACGGAGCUUGCUCUGGUGGCGAGUGGCGAACGGGUGAGUAAUAUAUCGGAACGUACCCUAGAGUGGGGGAUAACGUAGCGAAAGUUACGCUAAUACCGCAUACGAUCUAAGGAUGAAAGUGGGGGAUCGCAAGACCUCAUGCUCGUGGAGCGGCCGAUAUCUGAUUAGCUAGUUGGUAGGGUAAAAGCCUACCAAGGCAUCGAUCAGUAGCUGGUCUGAGAGGACGACCAGCCACACUGGAACUGAGACACGGUCCAGACUCCUACGGGAGGCAGCAGUGGGGAAUUUUGGACAAUGGGCGAAAGCCUGAUCCAGCAAUGCCGCGUGAGUGAAGAAGGCCUUCGGGUUGUAAAGCUCUUUUGUCAGGGAAGAAACGGUGAGAGCUAAUAUCUCUUGCUAAUGACGGUACCUGAAGAAUAAGCACCGGCUAACUACGUGCCAGCAGCCGCGGUAAUACGUAGGGUGCAAGCGUUAAUCGGAAUUACUGGGCGUAAAGCGUGCGCAGGCGGUUUUGUAAGUCUGAUGUGAAAUCCCCGGGCUCAACCUGGGAAUUGCAUUGGAGACUGCAAGGCUAGAAUCUGGCAGAGGGGGGUAGAAUUCCACGUGUAGCAGUGAAAUGCGUAGAUAUGUGGAGGAACACCGAUGGCGAAGGCAGCCCCCUGGGUCAAGAUUGACGCUCAUGCACGAAAGCGUGGGGAGCAAACAGGAUUAGAUACCCUGGUAGUCCACGCCCUAAACGAUGCCUACUAGUUGUCGGGUCUUAAUUGACUUGGUAACGCAGCUAACGCGUGAAGUAGACCGCCUGGGGAGUACGGUCGCAAGAUUAAAACUCAAAGGAAUUGACGGGGACCCGCACAAGCGGUGGAUGAUGUGGAUUAAUUCGAUGCAACGCGAAAAACCUUACCUACCCUUGACAUGGCUGGAAUCCUUGAGAGAUCAGGGAGUGCUCGAAAGAGAACCAGUACACAGGUGCUGCAUGGCUGUCGUCAGCUCGUGUCGUGAGAUGUUGGGUUAAGUCCCGCAACGAGCGCAACCCUUGUCAUUAGUUGCUACGAAAGGGCACUCUAAUGAGACUGCCGGUGACAAACCGGAGGAAGGUGGGGAUGACGUCAAGUCCUCAUGGCCCUUAUGGGUAGGGCUUCACACGUCAUACAAUGGUACAUACAGAGCGCCGCCAACCCGCGAGGGGGAGCUAAUCGCAGAAAGUGUAUCGUAGUCCGGAUUGUAGUCUGCAACUCGACUGCAUGAAGUUGGAAUCGCUAGUAAUCGCGGAUCAGCAUGUCGCGGUGAAUACGUUCCCGGGUCU
This 1352-nucleotide ribosomal RNA is filed under the name uncultured bacterium. RNAcentral describes it as "bacterial SSU rRNA". It matches the Rfam family "Bacterial small subunit ribosomal RNA", at positions 28 to 1381 of the family's 1533-position model. The record is from RNAcentral.